RNAcentral lists this ribosomal RNA (440 nucleotides) under uncultured bacterium. RNAcentral's name for it is "partial 16S ribosomal RNA". It matches the Rfam family "Bacterial small subunit ribosomal RNA", at positions 338 to 795 of the family's 1533-position model. The record is from RNAcentral.
CCUACGGGUGGCAGCAGUGGGGAAUAUUGCACAAUGGGGGAAACCCUGAUGCAGCGACGCCGCGUGAGUGAAGAAGUAAUUCGGUAUGUAAAGCUCUGUCAGCAGGGAAGAAAAUGACGGUACCUGACCAAGAAGCCCCGGCUAACUACGUGCCAGUCGCCGCGGUAAUACGUAGGGGGCAAGCGUUAUCCGGAUUUACUGGGUGUAAAGGGAGCGUAGACGGCAGGGCAAGUCUGGAGUGAAAUGCGGGGGCUCAACCCUCGGACUGCUCUGGAAACUGGCAGGCUGGAGUGCAGGAGAGGUAAGUGGAAUUCCUAGUGUAGCGGUGAAAUGCGUAGAUAUUAGGAGGAACACCAGUGGCGAAGGCGGCUUACUGGACUGUAACUGACGUUGAGGCUCGAAAGCGUGGGGAGCAAACAGGAUUAGAUACCCCUGUAGUC